CCUACGGGAGGCAGCAGUGGGGAAUAUUGCGCAAUGGGCGAAAGCCUGACGCAGCGACGCCGCGUGAGGGAUGAAGGUCUUCGGAUCGUAAACCUCUGUCAGCAGGGAAGAACGGUCACUGUGCUAAUCAGCAGUGAAUUGACGGUACCUGCAAAGGAAGCACCGGCUAACUCCGUGCCAGCAGCCGCGGUAAUACGGAGGGUGCGAGCGUUAAUCGGAAUUACUGGGCGUAAAGCGCUCGUAGGCGGUAUGUCAAGUCAAGGGUGAAAUCCCCGCGCUCAACGUGGGAACUGCCUUUGAAACUGGCAAACGUGAGUGUGUGAGAGGAGAGUGGAAUUCCAGGUGUAGGAGUGAAAUCCGUAGAUAUUAGGAGGAACACCAGUGGCGAAGGCGGCUUACUGGACUGUAACUGACGUUGAGGCUCGAAAGCGUGGGGAGCAAACAGGAUUAGAUACCCUGGUAGUC
RNAcentral lists this ribosomal RNA (465 nucleotides) under uncultured bacterium. RNAcentral's name for it is "partial 16S ribosomal RNA". It matches the Rfam family "Bacterial small subunit ribosomal RNA", at positions 338 to 795 of the family's 1533-position model. The record is from RNAcentral.